UGGGGAAUAUUGCACAAUGGGCGAAAGCCUGAUGCAGCAACGCCGCGUGGAGUGAUGAAGGCCUUCGGGUUGUAAAGCUCUGUCUUUUGGGACGAUAAUGACGGUACCAAAGGAGGAAGCCACGGCUAACUACGUGCCAGCAGCCGCGGUAAUACGUAGGUGGCAAGCGUUGUCCGGAUUCACUGGGCGUAAAGGAUGCGUAGGCGGAUUUUUAAGUGAGAUGUGAAAUACCCGGGCUUAACUUGGGUGCUGCAUUUCAAACUGGGAAUCUAGAGUGCGGGAGAGGAGAAUGGAAUUCCUAGUGUAGCGGUGAAAUGCGUAGAGAUUAGGAAGAACACCAGUGGCGAAGGCGAUUCUCUGGACCGUAACUGACGCUGAGGCAUGAAAGCGUGGGUAGCAAAACAGGAUUAGAUACCCUGGUAGUCCACGCCGUAAACGAUGAGUACUAGGUGUAGGAGGUAUCGACCCCUUCUGUGCCGCAGUUAACACAAUCAAGUACUCCGCCUGGGAAGUACGAUCGCAAGAUUAAAACUU
RNAcentral lists this ribosomal RNA (534 nucleotides) under uncultured bacterium. Its description in RNAcentral is "partial 16S ribosomal RNA". It matches the Rfam family "Bacterial small subunit ribosomal RNA", at positions 355 to 902 of the family's 1533-position model. The record is from RNAcentral.